RNAcentral lists this ribosomal RNA (367 nucleotides) under uncultured bacterium. RNAcentral describes it as "bacterial SSU rRNA". It matches the Rfam family "Bacterial small subunit ribosomal RNA", at positions 29 to 423 of the family's 1533-position model. The record is from RNAcentral.
AACGAACGCUGGCGGCAGGCCUCAAACAUGCAAGUCUAGGGGGUGCAGCAAUGCAUCACCGGCGGACGGGUGCGUAACGCGUGGGAAUAUACCUUUUGGUUCGGAACAACUGCGGGAAACUGCAGCUAAUACCGAAUGUGCCCUAACGGGGAAAGAUUUAUCGCCAAAGGAUUAGCCCGCGUAGGAUUAGCUAGUUGGUGAGGUAAUGGCUCACCAAGGCUCCGAUCCUUAGCNGUUCUGAGAGGAAGAUCAGCCACACUGGGACUGAGACACGGCCCAGACUCCUACGGGAGGCAGCAGUUGGGAAUCUUGGACAAUGGGGAACCCUGAUCCAGCCAUGCCGCGUGAGUGAUGAAGGCCUUAGGGU